AUUGAACGCUGGCGGCAGGCCUAACACAUGCAAGUCGAGCGGGGGUAGCAAUACCCUAGCGGCGAACGGGUGAGGAAUGCUUGGGAAUCUGCCUCGUAGUGGGGGAUAAUGUUCCGAAAGGAACGCUAAUACCGCAUACGUCCUACGGGAGAAAGGGGGGGAUCUUCGGACCUCUCGCUAUGAGAUGAGCCCAAGCGGGAUUAGCUAGUUGGUGAGGUAAAGGCUCACCAAGGCUACGAUCCCUAGCUGGUCUGAGAGGAUGAUCAGCCACACUGGAACUGAGGCACGGUCCAGACUCCUACGGGAGGCAGCAGUGGGAAUAUUGGACAAUGGGCGAAAGCCUGAUCCAGCCAUGCCGCGUGUGUGAAGAAGGCCU
Molecule: ribosomal RNA, 376 nt
Filed under: uncultured bacterium
Lineage: Bacteria
Description: bacterial SSU rRNA
Rfam family: Bacterial small subunit ribosomal RNA
Source: RNAcentral